CUUUACAUUCCUAAGUUCUGUGAAAGAGGCACUAGUAGCUCAGGCUAGCAAGGAAGGAAAAAAGAGGAAGUUUCUCUCUGCGUUCUGAUUACACUCUGAAUUCCCUUGUAGUGAGCUUACUUCUCUCCACCCACUUCUUACCAAGAACUCCUUAACUUGAGGGUGAACAACUUAAAGCUUGAUCCUACAGUUACCUGAAAAGUGAUUUGAGUAUUCAUUGAACUGAAAGAACAAAUCGCCUACUUCAGGCGGUGGCAAGCGUAUGGAAAUUAUAUUAGAACUUCAGCAAAGUGCACAGCUGCAUAAUAGAGAAGCCGGCACUCAGAUUGACAGGCAAAUAAGCCAGCUUGUGGAAGGGGCCUCUGGGUGGCAGCUCUGGGCUUUUGGGUGUUGGACAACCAUAGGCAAAACUGAAAUGGAACAGGGGCAGAAAAUAGCACACUUUUACUCUACGCAACUGUUGCUUUUUCAUGAUCUUCAGGAAUUUUACUGGGAUAAUUAUCCAAAUAAAUUGCAAGCAUUCUAUCCAAAUGGAGCUCUUUCUGAGAUGAAGAGAAUUCUCAAUGUCAAGAUUUGAACAAGAAGAGAAUGGAAUACACAAUAUGGACAUCCAUAAAAAUUCAUCAGAGAGCAUUUUACUACUGAGCUGCAAAGGUAGGAAAAAUAAAUUUUUUUUGGUUAGAAAAUAUACUUCUUUCAUCUGCGUUUCAAUAAUUUAUUCCCCUUGUUAGAUAUACAUGGAAUUGAUAUUGCUUAUUCUGACUAAGUGAAAAGUGUUAUUUCUACUUACUGCUCAAUUAGAAACAUGUAGUGUUUAAUUGUCAGUUUGAAUUUUUCUUUCAUACUAUUACAGUUUAUAUUUUACUAUAGGCAGAAUUUCCUCUUUAUCCUAAAUUUUGAUAUUCUCCAUAAUUUCAUCGUGCCUUGACAUUGCUGUAUAUAAUUUCUAUACAUCAGGAAGGCAAUUCUGUGUGCAUGUGUGUGUGUAUAUAUAUAGUUAGAAGUUAGAAACUGAAACUCUUUUUUGUCUACCAUCAUUUCAUAUUUUUCUUGCUAUUUCAAACCUAUAAUUUUUAAAGAAACGACUAACGUAAUCAUUCAUAGAAUAUGCUGUCAGUAACUUAACAAUAUAAAUGUUAACAUGGAGGCAUUUAGUUCAGCAUUUGCUUUACUUAAUAGAGUGCAGAAAAUGUGGCCCUUUUCUCAGUUAGGGUGUAUGUGAAGAUAAAUUUAGAAUUUCUAGACUAGUAAAUACUUCUCUGAUAAUAACUUAAUUAUAGCUAUUUCAAACCAAAUUGUUUAAUUGUGGUGAAUCAUAUGUAAAUUGUUCAGAUGUAGGUCAACACCCACGCCCACAUUCUAGCACCUCUUUCCUAAUUCAAGACAACUUUGCAGUGCCUAAAAGAGCUGAACAGUGCAGAUUAGAGACAUAAGACAAAAAAAAAAAAAAAACACAAAACAAUGGUAACAUAAAAA
Long non-coding RNA from Homo sapiens (human), 1476 nucleotides. Ensembl annotates it as mir-99a-let-7c cluster host gene. Its record names the gene MIR99AHG. The record is from Ensembl. Lineage: Eukaryota; Metazoa; Chordata; Mammalia; Primates; Hominidae.